This 457-nucleotide ribosomal RNA is filed under the name uncultured bacterium. Its description in RNAcentral is "partial 16S ribosomal RNA". It matches the Rfam family "Bacterial small subunit ribosomal RNA", at positions 28 to 507 of the family's 1533-position model. The record is from RNAcentral.
GGUGAACGCUGGCGGCGUGCUUAAGACAUGCAAGUCGAACGGGCUCUUCGGAGCCAGUGGCGCACGGGUGAGUAACGCGUAACUGACCUACCCCAAAGUCGCGGAUACGAUUCGAAAGAAUCGCUAAUACGUGAUGUGCUGUCAGAUCCUGUUCUGCCAGUAAAGAUUUAUUGCUUUGGGAUGGGGUUGCGUUCCAUCAGCUAGUUGGUGGGGUAAAGGCCCACUAAGGCGACGACGGAUCGCCGGCCUGAGAGGGUGGCCGGCCACAGGGGCACUGAGACACGGGUCCCACUCCUACGGGAGGCAGCAGUUAGAAAUCUUCCACAAUGGGCGAAAGCCUGAUGGAGCGACGCCGCGUGAGGGAUGAAGGUCCUCGGAUCGUAAACCUCUGAAUCAGGGACGAAAGACGCGAAAGCGGGAUGACGGUACCUGAGUAAUAGCACCGGCUAACUCCGUG